Molecule: long non-coding RNA, 377 nt
Organism: Canis lupus familiaris (dog)
Lineage: Eukaryota; Metazoa; Chordata; Mammalia; Carnivora; Canidae
Exons: 2
Source: RefSeq, a predicted model, not a curated record
CAGAAAAUAAAAUGACUACAUUUUGCUUUCCGUGUUCAUACUGCAUGAGAGAUCCGGGCUGGGAGAAGGAACUAUUCCCGGAAGGACUGGCAGAUGAAGAAAUAGAGGUUCUGAGGGCUUCAGUACUUGUCCCAGGUCGCUCAAGCACAGUGUCAGGAUUUGACCCCAAGCUGGCGACUCCAGGACCAGAGCCUGACUGCACGGUGUCGCCAGUAGCAACAGAUGAGAGAAGAUGCUUCCAUGGUUUGAAGCUCAGGUUCCAGACAGCUGUACCUGUAGGAACGGGUAUCAGUUAGAAAUGCCUGGCACAUGUAACAGCAAAUCCAAUUACAAUUGCUUAAGCAAAUAGGGGUUUUCAUAAAGGACAUUUAAUUAUG